AUAACAGGCAACCCACUCUAUAUAAUUACCCUUUGCUUUCCAUCCUUACAUCAUGGAGCUGUAAGUACGUACAAUAGCUUGCAGAAUUUGCACCACAAUAAUGGAGAGACGCACAUCAUUAUUGCACGCACUCCCAGUUCACUAUAAAGGCCACCAAUGGCCUGCGACAGAACUCCAUCACACGCCUAAUUAAGCCACAUAGAAAGUCACCCUCCACUUCACCUGUGCGCAUACAGGUUUUGAUUAUGCUGGGAAAAAUGCCGCAGCAUAUUUCCCUCCGUCAAA
Molecule: unclassified non-coding RNA, 285 nt
Filed under: Hevea brasiliensis (rubber tree)
Lineage: Eukaryota; Viridiplantae; Streptophyta; Magnoliopsida; Malpighiales; Euphorbiaceae
Source: RNAcentral